UACGGAGGGUGCAAGUGUUAUUCGGAUUUACUGGGCGUAAAGAGCACGUAGGCGGAUAGAUAAGUCAGAUGUGAAAGCCCGGAGCUUAACUCCGGAACUGCAUUUGAUACUACCUGUCUUGAGUAUGGUAGAGGGGGGUGGAAUUCCCGGUGUAGAGGUGAAAUUCGUAGAUAUCGGGAGGAACACCAGAGGCGAAGGCGACCCCCUGGGCCAUAACUGACGCUGAGGUGCGAAAGCGUGGGGAG
RNAcentral lists this ribosomal RNA (245 nucleotides) under uncultured bacterium. RNAcentral describes it as "partial 16S ribosomal RNA". It matches the Rfam family "Bacterial small subunit ribosomal RNA", at positions 524 to 768 of the family's 1533-position model. The record is from RNAcentral.